Aegilops tauschii subsp. strangulata is the source of this 1541-nucleotide long non-coding RNA. RefSeq lists it as uncharacterized. The record is from RefSeq and is a predicted model, not a curated record. Lineage: Eukaryota; Viridiplantae; Streptophyta; Magnoliopsida; Poales; Poaceae.
UCCUGCUCACGUACGACAACCAUCCUCCCCCUCGCACGAUCCCUCGCGUGAAAAAAAAUCGCCAAAGAAAACCAACGUUCCAAGCCAAAGAAAAGCUAGGGAAAAAAGUCCCCACGUUCUCCACCUUCUCCAUCCCUCCCCCACAUGCCGAUCUUUCCCAGGCCUUUCUCUCCCAAAUCCCGAACCAUCCCGUCUCCGUCCACCCAGAUCUGCUCUCUCGACGUCGCACCUCAAGGGUCUCCUCUCUCUCUCUCUCUCUCUCUCUCUCCGGCAACCGCGGGGGGACGCGCCGGCGCAGCCGUCCAAGCAUGCCCGCCUGGACACCUCGUUGGGAUUCGUCUGUGGGCUCGACCUAGGGCGCCACUACUCUCACAGCCAUGGGGCACGCGUCUUCUCCAACCUGCAUGCUCUCGCAGGGAGCCUGGCUGUGGACAUGUCAUCGUGAUGACGCUGGGGUCGUACAUCAUGGUCGCCGCCCCUGUCACAUCCAUGGCGACGACGGGGGUGCCGGUCGAGCUACCGAUUCCACCCGACGGACGAGGAGCUAGAGGUCGACCCGUACCUGCCGCCACUCUCCCACGUCUGCAAUCGUGAUGGCCAAUGGCGCUUGGUCCGCACGGCACGACACGCGUGUCCGGGAAGACCAACACGUGCAACGACCACAUCCUCGACAACGCCCCUGGGUGCUACCUGAACAAGCUUCUCACAUGGAUCUAUCUCUUUUCCUUUUUGCUUUGAGGUUGUGCUUGUCCGUGAAAAUAUAUGGUUGAUUGAUGAACUUUGUCUUCGUGUCUGUUUCAGAUCCUUAACGUCUUAAAAGACACGUCAGUCGGUCUGGAUGUGCAUCUCUCUAAUCUCUGAGCUAGCUAACUCCAUGCCGACGACCAACUAUGUGCGGAUGCCACAUCCAGGACAGGUGCGCUCCUGGAAGCAGCUCGACGUUGCCCUAGGCUUUACAUUCUGGUAAUGUGAAUAUCCAUCUGCCUCCUCUGCUCAGAGUCAUUGAUCUGAAACCCUGAAGUUUAUAGUAAGUUCACCCUCUACUGUUGUCGCAAGCAUCAUACAAUUAAAAUAGGUAAAUAGUACAACAAGUGGUUCGGUUCAUAGUGGGAUCCGGUAUGUCAUGCUCCUUCUACGAACAACAAAGACAAUGCAGCGACAAUUAAUCAGAGCUGCUGGUGAAUAAUAUGACUACAGAGAGUUGAGAUGUCACUAAUGGCUUCACCUAUGAGCUAUGAGUUGUCAAGGCUAUAUUAUUUAUCAUUUAUUUCAUGUAAUAUUGAUCAUGAUUAUAGCAACAGAGAAUACUUCCAUGUAGUUGUCUGAAUAUGGCAUGAAAGCCAAGUGUAAGGGCAAAAUUUAAGAUUCCCUUGUAUCAUUAGAAAAAUCAUUGUCUCACUUUUUUGGACUGUAUUUUGUUUUUCAUUCUUUGAACUUUUUUUAAAUUUGGCUAGAUGCAUACCUGAAGUAGAUUGUAUUAGGCUGCAUGUGCAUUCCACAUGUUUGAUACUGAUGAAAUCAGAGAUCCGAUGAUUAGAUAA